GGCUGGCUGCGAGCGCUUCGACGGUGCCGGCGGCGCUGCGCCAGCCGACCCAGCACAGCGGG
This 62-nucleotide transfer RNA is filed under the name Prymnesium polylepis. The record is from RNAcentral. Lineage: Eukaryota; Haptophyta; Prymnesiales; Prymnesiaceae.